GAAUGAUUUUCUGAUUGCACGGAUCUGAAGUCAACUCCACAGACUCUAUUUUAAUGGCCUUCAUCAUUUUAUCUGUUCAACAAAUCAAUUUUUUAUUAUUAUCAGAAACAUGACAUAAGAUAUAUCAAAUUGUCAAACGGCACUUUGCCAAAAACUGAAAGGUGCUCCAACAAUAGUGCAGGGAAGAAAUCUGGAGGGGGAAAUGCAACAGUAUAAAAGAAAUUUGUUGAACCAGAAUGAUGAAGUGUUCAAUAUACUCCGACAAAUAUCAAUCUAAAAACCAGGAACUUAUGAAAAAUCAGGUCCAAACUCCACUCUAUAUAAAAGACAAAUUUAACUGAAAACAUCCCUCAAUCAUUUAACCAUACCUUGAUUAAUACAAAUUCAAAUAAAAAAAGGAGCCAAACAAAAUAUACAUUACCAUGUCCAAAUUAAUACGUUUCCUGGCGAGCCUGAUGAUCUGCACCUAUUUCACCUGCACAUAUAUCUACAAGGAAAUAAACCCAAAUUAAUAGGUUUAUAUUACCCCUCUGCCCAUUGUCCACUCUAAGACUUGGAAAUCAUCAGAGGGGUA
Molecule: long non-coding RNA, 574 nt
Filed under: Prunus persica (peach)
Lineage: Eukaryota; Viridiplantae; Streptophyta; Magnoliopsida; Rosales; Rosaceae
Description: long non-coding RNA (PPER_LNC004038)
Source: RNAcentral